CCCUAGCCCAGAUAGCAAUGGAAAUCCUUGUGAAAAGAAGCGCCAAUUUUUCUUGACAAAAAAGAGCGACCAAAGAAGCUCCUUUUUUGUCAUAGAAAAAUGGUGGUUGUUGAGCAAGAUUGCAAUGGAUAGCUGGAAAUAGC
RNAcentral lists this small RNA (143 nucleotides) under Flavobacterium aquatile LMG 4008 = ATCC 11947. RNAcentral describes it as "Flavobacterium aquatile LMG 4008 Flavo-1 RNA". It matches the Rfam family "Flavo-1 RNA". The record is from Rfam by way of RNAcentral. Lineage: Bacteria; Pseudomonadati; Bacteroidota; Flavobacteriia; Flavobacteriales; Flavobacteriaceae.